RNAcentral lists this ribosomal RNA (550 nucleotides) under uncultured bacterium. RNAcentral's name for it is "bacterial SSU rRNA". It matches the Rfam family "Bacterial small subunit ribosomal RNA", at positions 355 to 896 of the family's 1533-position model. The record is from RNAcentral.
UAGGGAAUCUUCGGCAAUGGACGGAAGUCUGACCGAGCAACGCCGCGUGAGUGAAGAAGGUUUUCGGAUCGUAAAGCUCUGUUGUAAGAGAAGAACGAGUGUGAGAGUGGAAAGUUCACACUGUGACGGUAUCUUACCAGAAAGAGACGGCUAACUACGUGCCAGCAGCCGCGGUAAUACGUAGGUCCCGAGCGUUGUCCGGAUUUAUUGGGCGUAAAGCGAGCGCAGGCGGUUAGAUAAGUCUGAAGUUAAAGGCUGUGGCUUAACCAUAGUACGCUUUGGAAACUGUUUAACUUGAGUGCAAGAGGGGAGAGUGGAAUUCCAUGUGUAGCGGUGAAAUGCGUAGAUAUAUGGAGGAACACCGGUGGCGAAAGCGGCUCUCUGGCUUGUAACUGACGCUGAGGCUCGAAAGCGUGGGGAGCAAACAGGAUUAGAUACCCUGGUAGUCCACGCCGUAAACGAUGAGUGCUAGGUGUUAGACCCUUUCCGGGGUUUAGUGCCGCAGCUAACGCAUUAAGCACUCCGCCUGGGGAGUACGACCGCAAGGUUG